AUUUAUGGUUGCCACGUCUGGUAGCAUCUCUGGCUGCUGUUGACCUUGUUUUUGGAGUAAAACACAGUGGAAGCUGAAUUAGUGAGGAUGACUCCUGCUCCUGUCAUCUCUAAGCUCCUCACACAUCUUUACCUGCACAUGAGGAAAAUCACUCCUGUAGAAUGCAGUCUGUAGCUGCUGAAUUCAUGGAUGAAUCAUCUGGCACUAGAGAGGAAGACCAUCAAACAUCCACGUCAGCUGAUGGAGGUCCAAGAGUCUCACCCAACAAACAACCUACAGAGUGAAGACCUCAAAUCUGAUUGGACGGCCUCCUAUUCAGCCACAUGUGUGAACAAAUGCCUCUAAGCUGAUUUGUUUUCUAACAUAAAUCUAGUCUGAGUCCUCAUCUAUGCCUGUGUGUUUGCUUCUUUACACCGUUGUUAACAGUUUAGGCUGUUAGAUUGU
Molecule: long non-coding RNA, 444 nt
Organism: Amphiprion ocellaris (clown anemonefish)
Lineage: Eukaryota; Metazoa; Chordata; Actinopteri; Pomacentridae
Source: Ensembl